This 390-nucleotide transfer-messenger RNA is filed under the name Metamycoplasma canadense. Its description in RNAcentral is "Standard tmRNA". It matches the Rfam family "transfer-messenger RNA". Rfam says of the family: Bacterial tmRNA, also known as 10Sa RNA or SsrA, is named for its dual tRNA and mRNA-like properties. Its role is to liberate the mRNA from a stalled ribosome. The record is from Rfam by way of RNAcentral. Lineage: Bacteria; Bacillati; Mycoplasmatota; Mycoplasmoidales; Metamycoplasmataceae.
GGGGAUGUAAUGGCUUCGACAGGCAUUUAAGUGUUUUUGUGGCAGUGGUCUGGUAAACCUAAAAUACUUCUAGGCUUCUUAAAUGCAAAUUUAGAAGAAAAAAACAAAAAAGAUUUCAUUAUGACAAAUGUUAUGAUGAACAAUUUAAAUCCAGUUUACGCUUAAUUUGAAACUGGUCAAAAUCUUAUUUUGCCCAAUAUAAGAUUUUUGUUGGUUAGGGCUUUUGAUCUAGUGAAAUUUAGCUUAUUUCUAGAUGACAUCCGUUAGCUAAAGCUUAUUAUGUUUUUUGUUAAUUUUAAAUUAAUAAGUUUAUUAAAAAAUUUAACUAAACUGUAGAAGCAAAACCACAAGAAUGUGUGGACCGGGGUUCGAUUCCCCGCAUCUCCACCA